This 1461-nucleotide long non-coding RNA is filed under the name Vombatus ursinus (common wombat). Its description in RNAcentral is "lncRNA (ENSVURG00010001694.1)". The record is from RNAcentral. Lineage: Eukaryota; Metazoa; Chordata; Mammalia; Diprotodontia; Vombatidae.
AAAGAACAAGGAAGAUCUGGGGAAGAUCAUUGGUUGCUGCAAGGCUCCUUUAGCUUUGGGCAGGUCACUAGCUUGGUGCUGCCCGGGACAGCAUUUUGAAAUUUCACGAACAUUUAUUUGGUUUGAAGAAAUUGUCUGGGAUCCUUAUGAGCAGUUAGCACUAGUAGCAGAGAGAACGUCUUUUAAAAAUCCCCAAAGAGGGGGAGAAGUGAAACUUUUAAGUACUUUGGGUUUUUUGUUUAAACCAGCAUUUAAGUUCCCAAAAAUUACAGAGAAAAUAAGACAUUUAUGAAGAUGAACUUUCUUUUUAUCCCCUCAUAGUAGUGGAGGAGGCGGUGGUGGCGGAGGCGGUGGAGGUGGCGGAGGAGGCGGGAGACGCCGUGACUCUUACUAUGAUCGUGGAUAUGAUCGAGGAUAUGACAGAUACGAAGAAUAUGAUUACCGGUACAGAAGAAGAUCGCCUAGUCCGUAUUACAGUCGAUAUAGAUCACGGUCAAGAUCCCGUUCCUAUAGCCCAAGACGCUACUGAGGAAUUGGACAAUUGCUGUUGAGGACUUGGAUUUUUAAAAUUCUUCUGGAUUUCUCCAACCUUUUAAUCUUCCCCAUCUCUCAAGAACCCUUAAAAAAUCUUUGGUUUAUUUAGAAUCUACACUUUUUAAGUUGAUAUAUUGCUGUUUUCACCCCUUUAUUGUACUCUGGAAGAUGUAAUUGUUGUAGUUUUGAGUAGUCAGACAUCUUAAAGGAAACCCCAGUGUUAAUACAUUUUGUAAAUUCUUUUUUUGUUUUUACAAAAAAAAAAUUAACUCAUCUUAAUCAAAUGAGGAAAGAAAUUGUUGUUUUUGAAAAGCUUGUUUUGUGUGAAUUGUGCGCUGCACACAUUGUAACAGAAAUUUUCACUGACAAGUAACUUGGUGUUUUGGGGGUGUUUUGUUUGUUUUUUGGUUAACUGUUUGCCUGUUUAUUUUAAGAAAAUAGUAGCCUAUCUAAAACUGUUCAGUAAUGACAAAUUUAAAUGUGGGGUGGCAUGGAACAGUCAAAUAGUUGAGUGUAGAAAGUUUGAAGUUGUAGAAGAUAAAUGACUCUUGGUCAUUUCUUUUGAAAGGAAACAAAAUUGAACCCUAAAAAUUAGGUCUGUGUUUUAGAGACGAAAAGCUUAUGGACUCCUGCACAACGUAUUGCAUUUGAAAUACAUCUGUUAAACCUUGCAAAUUUAAUUAAAGUGUGGUUUUUGUGUGUGUUUUUUUUAAAAACCUUAUUCAGUUUAAAUGUUCCCUUAAUCAGUGAAGGACAACCCCUAUUUAUUGAAUAUAGCAAUUUAGUUAUAUAAUUUGCUGUUCAUAGAAAUUUUGGUAUUGGGAUAAUGGGUUAAGCAGGUUAUAGUUUACAAUCCUUUGAAGUGAUAUGUGUGGGGGGAUUUUACCAUAAGUCUGCUCUCAUUUCAAAUAAAAGUUAAUUCCAUUG